UUUUUUUUUUUUUUUUUUUUUUUUUUUGGCAUCGGUGUUUCUGAAAAUGAAGAGCACCUGUCUGAAGGCGAAAAUGAGACAACUGUUUAAAGUAUCUUUUUUGUUUACUUCUUUCAUGAUGUGACAUCUUUUAUCUCCAUCCUUUCAUUUAAUUGUCCAAUCAACAAAUAUUUGAGCUAAUUAUGUGCUCGUUCUGUGCACAGAGCCAUGACCAUGGCAUACAGGGUCCAGCUUUUACGGAACGGAGUCUCCGUGAAACUUGGCUUCUUUACCUGACAUUGUUGCUGCCUCCUCACAGCCCAUGGGAGGAGGUUAAGGCAGUUGGAAGAACCCUGACGUUGGUAAUGGCUUCAGUUAUCUUUUGCUGCAUGACAAGCCACCAUAAGCUCUGUAACUUAAGACAACCACGACCACUUCUUUGCUCACAAUUCUGCAGUUUGGAAAGGGCACAGCUGGGCAGUUCUGCUUUCCCAGGAUGGCAGCUGGGGUCAGACACGGUGGCCUGUAGCUGUGAGUUUGGUCACUGAGGCCAGAAUAGCCAAGAUGCUACCCCCACAUCUGAUUCUUAGGCUGGGCCAGCUGAAGUGGCUGGCGGCCCCCUCUCUUCACGUGAUCGCUCAUCAUUCAGUGGGCCAGUCCCAGCCCCUUUAUGCUUUCUUUACAGCCUGGAUCCCAAGAAAGAGAAAGCAGAGGCUAUCAGGCCUGCGAAAGCCACGGUGUGGAAGCCCCAGAAGGUCACUUCCAUUUUAUUCUCCUGGCCAAAGCCCAUCACAGGGCCAGCCCAGAUCCGAGGGGCAGGAAAGAGACCACACUUCCGAAUGGAAGGAGCGCCUGGAAUGGGAGGAACUAUCAGCAGUCCUAUUGGGAAACACUCUAUCAUAUCCCACCUUCUGGCCAUGACACUUCACAUACACACACACACACACACACACCCUCCCCCCAAAUUAUCGUUCUGUGCAGCACUGGCUCUAAGGUCCAGGAUCUAAUGACACACACACUGGGCCCUAGGAGUGGCUGAGGCCUUUUAGAUG
This 1031-nucleotide long non-coding RNA is filed under the name Canis lupus familiaris (dog). RNAcentral's name for it is "lncRNA (ENSCAFG00845029399.1)". The record is from RNAcentral. Lineage: Eukaryota; Metazoa; Chordata; Mammalia; Carnivora; Canidae.